AGUGGGGAAUAUUGCGCAAUGGGGGAAACCCUGACGCAGCAACGCCGCGUGAGUGAUGAAGGCUUUCGAGUCGUAAAACUCUGUCUUCGGGGACGAUAAUGACGGUACCCGAGGAGGAAGCCCCGGCUAACUACGUGCCAGCAGCCGCGGUAAUACGUAGGGGGCAAGCGUUGUCCGGAAUCACUGGGCGUAAAGGGCGCGUAGGCGGUUUGUUAAGUCAGGUGUGAAAGUUUUCAGCUUAACUGGAAAAGUGCACUUGAAACUAACUUACUUGAGUACUGGAGAGGUAAGCGGAAUUCCUAGUGUAGCGGUGAAAUGCGUAGAUAUUAGGAAGAACACCGGUGGCGAAGGCGGCUUACUGGACAGAGACUGACGCUGAGGCGCGAAAGCGUGGGGAGCGAACAGGAUUAGAUACCCUGGUAGUCCACGCCGUAAACGAUGAGUAUUAGGUGUUGCCGAGAGGCAGUGCCGCAGUUAACACAAUAAAUACUCCGCCUGGGGAGUACGGUCGCAAGACUGAAACUCAAAGGAAUUGACGGGACCCCGCACAAGUAGCGGAGCAUGUGGUUUAAUUCGAAGCAACGCG
Molecule: ribosomal RNA, 586 nt
Filed under: uncultured bacterium
Lineage: Bacteria
Description: bacterial SSU rRNA
Rfam family: Bacterial small subunit ribosomal RNA
Source: RNAcentral